GUUUAUUAUUCUGCUAAACUGCUUUGUCCUUGGUUGCAUGAUAUCUGAUCCAGCAAAACAAGGAUAUAACUUCAUUCUAUGUGCAUAUUAUCUGCAGGGUUAUGCAUAUAUACUCACGCAGCCCGGAAUACCUUCCGUUUUCUAUGACCACUUCUAUGAUUCGGGUGAUUCAAUUCAUGAUCAGAUUGUGAAACUGAUUCAGAUUAGUAGAUAUGAGACAUUUUGAACUGAUCGAUGCUCAUGAUUAGGUUGUGUACAUAAGACAAUGGUGGAUUAAUAGAAAUUGCAAUGAAUGAUUUUGGA
Long non-coding RNA from Rosa chinensis, 303 nucleotides. RefSeq lists it as uncharacterized. The transcript has 2 exons. The record is from RefSeq and is a predicted model, not a curated record. NCBI's taxonomy places the organism in Eukaryota, Viridiplantae, Streptophyta, Magnoliopsida, Rosales, Rosaceae.